Long non-coding RNA from Acanthopagrus latus (yellowfin seabream), 655 nucleotides. RefSeq lists it as uncharacterized. The record is from RefSeq and is a predicted model, not a curated record. Lineage: Eukaryota; Metazoa; Chordata; Actinopteri; Spariformes; Sparidae. The transcript is spliced from 2 exons.
AACACUUGUGUACUCUGAUGCUUAGCAAACACAUUAGCCGUAUAGCCCAUUAGGGCCUCUCAGUUGCCCUUUGGAGGAUUCGUUCUGAGAAUCAUAUUAUAUCCUGCUCCAGUUCUAAUUAUCUGCACUCACAAUGUGCUCAUUACGAGCUUACGCAGCUUUAUGAGCAACACUCCAGGCGCCCUCUUCCCAGCGAGGUGCUGCAGGCCCCCGCGGGGAAUCGAUCAGCCUUCCUCUGCUUUACGCCAGAUCUGUCUGUCUACCUGUCUGCAUGCCAGCUCUAAGUCAUAUGAAGGGCAACAGAGCCGGAGGGUAAGACACUGCAGGGAACAAGGCCUCAACCAGGUGGUACAUCUGUGCGUGUGUGUGUGUGUGCAUUCAGAUUUAGUCAAGUGAUGUGUAGAGAAGACGUUAAGCUUCUUCUCUCUCCUAAAUCUUCCUCUAUAGCAAAAAGGACACUUGUGAUCAUCCUCUAUCCUCUUAGCUGCUGAUGAAAGGGAGAGAAAUGUGAGCGCCUCUACAGUAGCAUUUCUUUUAUAAUGAAUCACAGCAGUGAGGAGGAGUUAUGUCAGGAGUCUUUACAAAUUACAGUGUUUUCUCCUUUGGUGCAAUCGUUUAAAAGUGAUAAAUGGAACAUAAAAUUAACAAAAACAUU